Molecule: small RNA, 638 nt
Filed under: Pongo abelii (Sumatran orangutan)
Lineage: Eukaryota; Metazoa; Chordata; Mammalia; Primates; Hominidae
Description: processed transcript
Source: RNAcentral
CCCACGUGUUCCGACCCGCUAGGCCCCGCGCGGCUCGGAUCCGGCGGCGCUGUUUCGGUCGGGAGUGGGUGGGAGAGAAGCCGGGGCAGGGGAGGAGCCGCCGGAGCUGUCGGAGCCGUGACACCCAGGGCAGCUACACUCAGAAGCCACAAGGAAUGCUAGCGGAGCCCCUCAUCCCUUCCAGCUUCUCUUCCAAGCUGCCCCGUGGGGCUUGAUCCAGGAAGCUACUUCAGAAAGCUAUACCCUUUUUGUACUCUGUGUAUAUACUAUAUUGCAGUAGACAAUCAUUCCAAGGGUACAACAAGGUUUACUACAAUGUGAGGGACUCAGCCAUUGCAAAUUGUACAGAUGAAUCUUCAGUGGAAACCUGGUACUCCUCAGAUUCCUCUGGUUCACCAGGCGGGGAUCCCAUCCUUUAUCGUCUCCUCAAAUGCUAAGGGAGCCUUGAGCAAAGCCAGCAGGAAGUCAUCUAGACAUGAAACGGGGUAUCCACACAGGCUGUGUUAAUGACAAAGCUAAAAACGGAGUAAAUGACUUCUGAAUUUACUGCCAUUGUGAAUUAUCUAUAGCAACACCUCAGGUCAGCUUUAUUAUAUACGUUACUGUGUUAUUUCCCAUUAAAAGAUGGUUCAUCCGAC